UCACAGUUUUUCCUUGUCUGGUGGUCCC
RNAcentral lists this small RNA (28 nucleotides) under Bombyx mori (domestic silkworm). RNAcentral's name for it is "ovarian small RNA-25038". Lineage: Eukaryota; Metazoa; Arthropoda; Insecta; Lepidoptera; Bombycidae. The record is from RNAcentral.